AGAGUUUGAUCCUGGCUCAGAAUGAACGCUGGCGGCGUGCCUAAGACAUGCAAGUCGAACGAGAAAGCUCCUUCGGGCGUGAGUAGAGUGGCGCACGGGUGAGUAAUACCUAGGUAACGUACCCCCUCGCUGGGGAUAACUAAGGGAAACUUUAGCUAAUACCGAAUGACCCUGUCUUUUCCACGGAAAGGAUAGGGAAAGCCUUCGGGCGCGAGAGGAGCGGCUUAGGCCCGAUUAGUUUGAUGGUGGGGUAACGGCCUACCAUGGCUACGAUCGGUAGCUGGUCUGAGAGGAUGAUCAGCCACACUGGUACUGGAACACGGACCAGACUCCUACGGGAGGCAGCAGUUAGGAAUUUUGCGCAAUGGGGGAAACCCUGACGCAGCAACGCCGCGUGAGUGAAGAAGGCCUUCGGGUUGUAAAGCUCUUUUAUUAGGGAAGAAAAAAAUGACGGUACCUAAUGAAUAAGCACCGGCUAACUCCGUGCCAGCAGCCGCGGUAAUACGGAGGGUGCAAGCGUUAUUCGGAUUUACUGGGCGUAAAGCGCGCGUAGGCGGUUUGAUAAGUCUGAUGUGAAAUCCCACGACUUAAUCGUGGACGUGCAUUGGAUACUGUCAGACUAAAGUGCAAGAGAGGUAGGCGGAAUUCCAGGUGUAGAGGUGAAAUUCGUAGAUAUCUGGAGGAACAACAGAAGCGAAA
This 699-nucleotide ribosomal RNA is filed under the name uncultured bacterium. Its description in RNAcentral is "bacterial SSU rRNA". It matches the Rfam family "Bacterial small subunit ribosomal RNA", at positions 8 to 720 of the family's 1533-position model. The record is from RNAcentral.